AGUCAUCUCUGCCAUGCACAGAGGAAGUGUCGCUGUGCGGCGACACAUGUGACCGCCGUCUGUCAUGUGGAAAACACACCUGUUCAAUGAGGUGCCACCGAGGGAGCUGCGAGACCUGCAGACAGGAGGUGGAGAAGGAGUGCAGGUGUGGUAAAUACAGGAAGUUGAUGCCGUGUCAUAAAGAAUAUCUGUGCGACUCCAAAUGUCCCAAAACCAGAAGCUGCCAGCGACACCAGUGCAGGAGGAAGUGUUGCCCUGGUAACUGCCCCCCCUGUGACCAGAGCUGUGGGCGAACUCUGGGGUGUCGAAACCACAAGUGUCCCUCUGUGUGUCACCAAGG
This is a non-coding RNA of Paralichthys olivaceus (Japanese flounder), 340 nucleotides long. The record is from RefSeq and is a predicted model, not a curated record. Lineage: Eukaryota; Metazoa; Chordata; Actinopteri; Pleuronectiformes; Paralichthyidae.